This 301-nucleotide ribosomal RNA is filed under the name uncultured bacterium. RNAcentral describes it as "partial 16S ribosomal RNA". It matches the Rfam family "Archaeal small subunit ribosomal RNA", at positions 459 to 759 of the family's 1478-position model. The record is from RNAcentral.
CAGCCGCCGCGGGAACACCAGCAGCCCAAGUGGUGGUCGCGUUUAUUGGGCCUAAAGCGCUCGUAGCCUGGCCGGUAAGUUCCCCGUGAAAUCGGGUCGCCCAACGAUUCGGCUUGCGGGGAAUACUGUCGGUCUUGGGGCCGGGAGACGCCGAGGGUACUCCGGGGGUAGCGGUGAAAUGCUGUAAUCCUCGGGGGACUACCAGUGGCGAAGGCGCUCGGCGAUAACGGGCCUGACGGUGAGGGGCGAAAGCUGGGGGCGCGAACGGGAUUAGAGACCCCUGUAGUCCCUGUCUCUUAUA